This 568-nucleotide long non-coding RNA is filed under the name Chrysemys picta bellii (western painted turtle). Its description in RNAcentral is "lncRNA (ENSCPBG00000006381.1)". Lineage: Eukaryota; Metazoa; Chordata; Testudines; Emydidae. The record is from RNAcentral.
GGCAUGUUUUUCCUAUAGCUCUGAACGUGAAAUGUGAAAUGUGUCCAUUACAAAAUACCUUGUAUCUGAUUUCAGGGAGAAGAAAGAAAUAACUUCAGAGAUCAUGAGGGCAUGGAAAGCUUAAUGCCAUCCAUCAGGACCCAACUGUGCAAUCCCUACUCAUGUUGAUGAGUGUGGUUAGUCUUUCAACUGUGCCAUGAAGAUAUAUUUGCAGAGACAGGAUCGAACCACAAAUAUCUGAGAGAGUGAAGUCAAUGGAGUUACACCAGCAGUGAAUUUACUUCAGACUCCACUAGACUGGGGAUGCAAUACCAUUUGUUGCUUCUUGUGUAACCCACGGGCUGAUAGCCAGGUUAUACCUGUGUUGAUCAGAUUUGCUGCCCCUUCACUCAUAACCUCGGUGUGCUCUAUGGAUCUCAUGAAAUACUGCCAAAGCAGGCCUUCCAAUGGGGAUGAAGGACAAAGCUCUACACAGCUCAACAGGCAAAUAACACCAAUGGAUUGUUCUAUUCUGAAGGAUUUUCGGUAUGUGGGUGAGUUUUUAUUCCCCUCCAUCCCUCUACUCACA